GGCGCGGUAGUAGCGUAGGACAAUACGAGAGGCUCAUAACCUCUAAACGCAGGUGCAAAUCCUGCCCGCGCAACCA
This 76-nucleotide transfer RNA is filed under the name Terriglobia bacterium. Its description in RNAcentral is "tRNA-Met". It matches the Rfam family "tRNA". From Rfam's summary of the family: Transfer RNA (tRNA) molecules are approximately 80 nucleotides in length. Their secondary structure includes four short double-helical elements and three loops (D, anti-codon, and T loops). Lineage: Bacteria; Pseudomonadati; Acidobacteriota; Terriglobia. RNAcentral also lists the same sequence under 2 other names. The record is from RNAcentral.